CUUCGGAAUUAGAGACCGGCGCACGGGUGCGUAACGCGUAUGCAAUCUACCUUUCACAGAGGGAUAGCCCAGAGAAAUUUGGAUUAAUACCUCAUAGUAUAAUACCUUGGCAUCAAGGAAUUAUUAAAGUCACAACGGUGAAAGAUGAGCAUGCGUCCCAUUAGCUAGUUGGUAAGGUAACGGCUUACCAAGGCGACGAUGGGUAGGGGUCCUGAGAGGGAGAUCCCCCACACUGGUACUGAGACACGGACCAGACUCCUACGGGAGGCAGCAGUGAGGAAUAUUGGACAAUGGGCGCAAGCCUGAUCCAGCCAUGCCGCGUGCAGGAUGACGGUCCUAUGGAUUGUAAACUGCUUUUGUACAGGAAGAAACCCUUUCACGUGUGGAAGAUUGACGGUACUGUAAGAAUAAGGAUCGGCUAACUCCGUGCCAGCAGCCGCGGUAAUACGGAGGAUCCAAGCGUUAUCCGGAAUCAUUGGGUUUAAAGGGUCCGUAGGCGGUCAGAUAAGUCAGUGGUGAAAGCCCAUCGCUCAACGGUGGAACGGCCAUUGAUACUGUCUGACUUGAAUUAUUAGGAAGUAACUAGAAUAUGUAGUGUAGCGGUGAAAUGCUUAGAGAUUACAUGGAAUACCAAUUGCGAAGGCAGGUUACUACUAAUUGAUUGACGCUGAUGGACGAAAGCGUGGGUAGCGAACAGGAUUAGAUACCCUGGUAGUCCACGCCGUAAACGAUGGAUACUAGCUGUUGGGCGCAAGUCCAGUGGCUAAGCGAAAGUGAUAAGUAUCCCACCUGGGGAGUACGUUCGCAAGAAUGAAACUCAAAGGAAUUGACGGGGGCCCGCGCAAGCGGUGGAGCAUGUGGUUUAAUUCGAUGAUACGCGAGGAACCUUACCAAGGCUAAAUGUAGAUUGACCGGUUUGGAAACAGACUUUCGCAGACAUUUACAGUGCUGCAUGUUGUCGUCAGCUCG
RNAcentral lists this ribosomal RNA (969 nucleotides) under uncultured bacterium. RNAcentral's name for it is "bacterial SSU rRNA". It matches the Rfam family "Bacterial small subunit ribosomal RNA", at positions 80 to 1062 of the family's 1533-position model. The record is from RNAcentral.